Long non-coding RNA from Gadus chalcogrammus (walleye pollock), 280 nucleotides. RefSeq lists it as uncharacterized. The transcript has 3 exons. NCBI's taxonomy places the organism in Eukaryota, Metazoa, Chordata, Actinopteri, Gadiformes, Gadidae. The record is from RefSeq and is a predicted model, not a curated record.
ACGGACUUGGCAGCAACUGAAGAUCAAAUAAAAAAAUGUAGUUCAAACAGAAAAAAGGCUGAGGCCCGCAAAACAGGUGGCGGUCCACCACCACCACCUCUCACAGAGGCUGAAAAGAUGGCCCUCAGUCAGAACAGUGGGCGACCCAUUGCUGAGGGCAUCUCUGGGGGGAGCUCAUCGGACCCACCCACGCCCCAGGACACAGGGGCCUACAUAAGAGUUACUGAUGGUGUAAUCUGUCUCGUGGAGCCUUCUGCCAUAACAGACCUCCAUGCUGUUG